This is a long non-coding RNA of Chenopodium quinoa (quinoa), 5000 nucleotides long. RefSeq lists it as uncharacterized. NCBI's taxonomy places the organism in Eukaryota, Viridiplantae, Streptophyta, Magnoliopsida, Caryophyllales, Amaranthaceae. The record is from RefSeq and is a predicted model, not a curated record. The transcript is spliced from 8 exons.
UUCUCUCUCUAUGCAGACUAUGCCUCACUCAAGGAGACACAUUGUUCUUUCUCUCUCCUCGUUUCAAUUUUGAAUUCCUGCAAUUUUAGUUCCUUGAUCGCAUUUCAUAGCUGUAAUCUACUAUGCAUUUGAUCAAACAUCGCUUCAAUUUCACUCAAAAUUCGAUUCAUUCUCAAAGAAUUUUGAUAAUUCUUAUGGUUCCAAUUUUACUUGCGAUUUAAUCGUCAAAUUAGGGCAACGAUUUUGAUGAUCAAAAUUUUAUGAAACAGGACUUAUGCCGAUGGAUUGUAUCAUCUUAAUUUGUCGCCGAGUUCGAAAUAUCGACUCCUUAACUGUGAAUGAGAAGAAUUAUGAGGAAUGCAAUUUGGAACACACGUUGCUGUUUAUUUGAUGGCUACAGGUGGUUGGUAGUUCGAUGGUUAACAUAUUAUUGAGAAUUAUCUAAGAAUCAAAGAUUGAGUUGAUCCUGCAAAAGAUAAGACUACGAGUCAGCUCCUGCUUCACACUGAGGAACAGUUUAUAAUAAGUCAAGAUGUCAAUGUCGAGAGAGAAAUCAUACCGGUGGCUUUCUUGUAAGAUCUGCAGUUGCUGCCUGAGCAUUGCCACUUCUUUUUGCCAGAACUACAAAAUACAGUUGUGCAUUAGAUUAUGGUUGGUUGUUUGACUAAUUCUGAGAUUGAAUAGACGCUUGUUAUUUCUUGGAGCUGUUGUCUUAGAUAGAAAGGAGAUUUUGCCAACCAGUUCAUUCGAAAUGUGUUGUCUUUCACUAUUUUUAUCAUGGGGCUUGGUGAACAUAAUCACAGUGGUAAGAUCUCACUUGGGUAUAGGGGCUCGGUCAACCAGUUUUUUUUUUUUUUUCGUUGUUGUUGUUGUUGUAGAUACAUUUUUUUUAUUGAUUAGCUCCAACAAAAAAAGUUGGACAAUUAUAAAAAUUUUCUUUCUGGAUGGCUAGUCUCUAUAUGCAAGAACAAUGUUUUUCUAAUACGCAUGGAUAUGUUGCACCCAUCAGUUUUUUUUCUCAAUUGUUCUAGGUGUUUUGUGAUGGUGAUUACCUCCUAAGUUGAGGCACUAAUUGCAAUACCUCAAAUUUUCAAGUAUUUUAUAAUAAACAAUUUCUAUAAAUUGAUUUGAUUUUGAUAAAAAUGAUUAUUUACUUAUUUUAUUUUAUUUUGGAAAAAAAGAUAAUUGAUAUUCAUUAAAGAUACCAAAGUGAUAUUCAUAAUUGUAUAAAUUAUUUAUUUGAAAUUUAAAAUAGUUUUAAAUACCUCCAUCUGCGCAAUUAUAUGACCCCUUUUUACAAUCAUUUGGUCUUCAUUUUCUCUUCAAUGUUAUAGUUUUGUUUUGCUUCCAUCAUGAAGUUUUUUGAGGUACUCUACUGUAAUGAUCUAUUCCCAUUGUAGGAGUACAAUAUGUUCUUGAUUUCCCACUGAUGAAUAUAUCAUUGUAUUUUUUUUAACUUAUGAGAAUAGUUCUCUCUCCCGAAUAGUGUAUAAGAGUAUGUUUUCGUCAAAACAUAAGAGUAUUUAUGUCCUUUUUUUUUAGUCGAACACAUACUCUUAUACACUCUUCGGAAGAGAGGAUCGUGAUCAAAAGUCAAAACUGUUAAAAAAAAAGUACAAUGUUGUAUUAAUCAAUGGGAAAACAAAUACACAAAGUACUCCUACUAGGGAAAUGGAUCCCUUACUUUAGACUGCCUUGAAAUGCUAAUGAUGGAAGCAAAACAAAAUUACAAGUAUAACAAGGAAGUUAAGAAGACCAAAAGAAAUGAAUAAAAGGGGGUUGUAUAAUUGAGGCAUAAAGAGGUAUUUACACCUCAAAGUCAAUAAUAGGGUUUGAUAAUCUAGAAAUUUCAGAGAGUCAAUAAUAGGGUUGAUCUCUAGAUAUUUUAGAUUUUAUAUUUUAAACCAAAAUUUUUGUUAUCAUACAAAUCAGUUUUUUUAUCUUUUGUGAAAAUCAAUUUUUUUUUUUUUUAAUCUCUUUUUAAAACUAUGAAAUUAUAAAUAAUCUUCAUGUGAUAUCGAAGAAAAUUAAAAUCAAAUAAGUGUAUUACACUAAUAAUGGUGGUGUCUUUGAUUCAAGAGUUUAGGGUUGAUGAAGUUAAUAUGCUGUCUUUAGUGUACCAAGUGUUGGUACAGGUAAGCCCCUAGUUAUAAUUUUUGUUUGUAAGGUAAAAUUAAAUAAUAAGUUUAUAAAAGACAUUUAUUGAUGAUAUGUUCCAUAAACAAGAUUGGGUUUGGCUAUAUGUCAUUAUUUGUUUGGUAUGUGAAUUCAAUUCAAAUCAUGAUGUCUUACCUUUCUUUGUUGUUACCUGACAUGUCAUGAUGCUUAAGAGGAAUAAGUUUGUGAUGUAUGAGGAGUCUAAUGUUUGUUACUUUUUGGGAGUGGCAUUUAUGAUGUGCUUUGUAGGCUUUUGGGGGCCAAUGAGUUAUUCCUAUGGAACAAUGCUUUUAUGGUAAUUUUGUGGUGCAUUUGGCUGAAAUGUAUCUUCUAGAACUCCCUUUUUCCGCGCACCAUCUUAUAUGGUUUGUUACUUUGUUAAGCAUUUAGAAGUAGCACCUUAAUAAAAAAAAAUGUGUAUUAUAUGAUGGAUGUGUGGGAACUUGGUGAGGGAGUAAAGUAUGUAGGUAUUCGAAGGAAUAGUAUAGAUAUGAUAAGGGAGAGUCGAUUACAAUGGUUUGGGAAUUUGAGAUGUUGACUGAAAGAUACAGUGGUAAUGAAGGUGAAGGGUUGGAAUAAAAGAGAUCUAAAGUUAGGUUGAGGAAAACCAAAGAUGUGUUUGAUGGAUGGGAUUUAAAAUGGGCAUGGAGAAAGGGGCUUAUUCGGUGAUGUAGGUCAUGUAGCUGUAGAAAGAAAAGAUUGGAGAAGGAUGUUGUUUGGGUUGAUCAUAUGAGAUAGACUCUUGGUUCAUGUUGCUGACCCCAUAUCUUUGGGAAUAAAUCUAUUUGUGGGCUAGAAUAACUUCCGCAACUUCCUAUUGUGCAAGGACGAUAAAGGCUUAUAAGGGCUAUAUGAUUUUGGAGAUCUGUUAAAUUUAUUUCUUGGCUAAUAUUUGUUUGAUCUUGGGAGAAUUUCAGAACUAGUUCUUUUGUUGCAUUUUGAUUAUGUAUGCUUUAUAUGCCUCUCUAUAUAGAAAAAGUGGUAAAAUUUGUACUUGAGAAUUUUCAAGAGUCCUCUAGAACAACCAAUAUGAUAUAGUUGUAAUUUGUGUUAAAAGAUCCUUGUAAGGUUUUAUCAUACCUCUUCAUUGAAUGUAAGAAGGCUUAGCAAUAGUUGACAUGAUUGGUUGAAAUCAAACCAUAAUUCAACCAUAUACUAUUAUUCGGUUAUGGUACUAUUCCUGUGUCUUAAUCCAUGCCUAGGCUCAGGUUUGCUUACUUGAAACAUACUUUGCUCCUAUUGAGUCAAGUGUGGUCCAUGCACCGUUUUACGUUGCUUAAAUAUUGGUUGUUAUCCCUUGUUUGAUCUCUAAUUACAUCCCUUGAUGGGCCCCGAGAAGAAUCACGAAUCUUUCGUUUUGAGCAACUUGUCCUGUGGAAUAAAAAACAUUUUGAUAAAAGUUGCUCAUUUUAGAUCAUAUAUCAGGAUUACGUAGUAAUGUGUCAAACCAUUCAUGGUGUCCUAUUUUCAGCAUAAGGCGUGGAAAAUUUUCUGAAUAGUUGGGUCAUUAGACUGCUAUGGUAAUAUAACUAUAGAGUAAUAGGGAGUUGGAUGCAGGUUGUUAUUGCUUUAUUACAUCCAUUGCUGGCUAGGUAGCAGUGUAGAAUGGCAAUAAACUAUGUUGCAUUGUUUCUAUUUACCUGUAUUUGGUGCUGUUACAAUGUUACUGCAAUAGUUUUCAAGGAAUCAAUAUUAGGGGAAGGGUAUGUUAGUCAUUAUGUUAGUCAUAAUCUAUUACUCCCUCCGUCCCCGAAAAAACGACCCAUUUGGGUUGAUUUCGCGGGUGUUAAGAAACUUAAUUUGCAAGUACAAAUGUAUGGGAAAACACAAGAAAAAUUAAUGGUGGCAGGAGAGAGAAAAAAAGUUUAGAAAUUUAGAGAGGAGAUGACACAAAGAUCUGAAAAAAUACAUGGGUAAAAUAGGGAGAAGGAUCUAUAUGACAAAAAUAUUUGAGGAUAUAUUGGUAAUUUUGUGAUUUUAAUAGAUGUUGGGAAAAACAAAUGGGUCAUUCUUUUUGGGACUAAAAUUAGGCCAAAUGGGUCGUUCUUUCGGGGACGGAGGGAGUAGUAGUAACUUGGAGAAUAAGCUAGAGGUUUGUUAGUAGGGAUUUUCUAUAAAAUAGGUCUCAUGAGGAGGAAAGUAGACAUGUUGAAUAUUGUGUGGUUUGUUAUUGGGAGAGAGUGAGCCUUUCACAAGCUCAAAUUAGGAGAGAAUCCACCUCUUAAAAGUGGAAUCAUCAUUCGAUUUACUGUAAUUCUCAUCUUAUCAAUGUAAAAAUCAUUUUCUUCUUAUAUUGCUGCCAUUGUUGGUGCUGUAAGCUAUGUCAGUUCCUAUCAUAGUUUUAAAUUGUUUUUAGCUAAUCACCUGAAGUAGUUUGUAAAUAACCCUGUCUGAUUAUUAGAGGUGAGAUUGUGUUAUCCUGAGUCCUGACCUUUCAAAUUCCCAUUUUUAAGUAGUUGCUAAUUUAAUCUUCUGGUGGUGGUUAUUGUUUUAUGUUUUUAUUGCUUCUGCUUUUCUACUUUAUAGAGAAUUCUUAUUACUUACCAUUGCAUUUUGUUAUGACAAUUAUAUUAUAUGAUUUCUUAGUUAAUCUUGCUUGAAACUUUUAUUUAUAGUCUUGAAAUAUAAUAUUGCACUCGGACUAGCGUCUUGCAAAUCUCUGAUACUGAAAGUUUUAACCAUUCCUCAGUUUUUAUCAUCCAUUAAGAGCAAAAAUUUGCCUGUGAAAAUGAUUUUCUGUUAAAUUCCAAACAAAAAGAAGAUUUUCCUGUUUUCAUUUAUAUUUGUCUUGGAAGAUAUUCUGGUAGCAAUUAUAGUAUUAUACAUUCAAAAUAAGAACUCAA